CACGUAGGAGCCAAGCGUUAUCCGAAUUCACUGGGCGUAAAGCGCGUGCAGGCGGCUCGGUAAGUUGGAUGUGAAAGCUCCUGGCUCAACUGGGAGAGGACGUUCAAUACUGUCGGGCUAGAGGACGGCAGAGGGAGGUGGAAUUCCCGGUGUAGUGGUGAAAUGCGUAGAUAUCGGGAGGAACACCAGUGGCGAAGGCGGCCUUCUGGGCCGAUCCUGACGCUCAGACGCGAAAGCUAGGGGAGCGAACGGGAUUAGAAACCCCGGUAGUCCUAGCUGUAAACGAUGUAGACUUGGUGUGGGUGGUGUGAAAGCUAUCUGUACCGAAGCAAACGCGAUAAGUCUACCGCCUGGGGACUACGGCCGCAAGGUUAAA
RNAcentral lists this ribosomal RNA (376 nucleotides) under uncultured bacterium. RNAcentral describes it as "bacterial SSU rRNA". It matches the Rfam family "Bacterial small subunit ribosomal RNA", at positions 524 to 898 of the family's 1533-position model. The record is from RNAcentral.